This 510-nucleotide ribosomal RNA is filed under the name uncultured bacterium. Its description in RNAcentral is "partial 16S ribosomal RNA". It matches the Rfam family "Bacterial small subunit ribosomal RNA", at positions 28 to 507 of the family's 1533-position model. The record is from RNAcentral.
GACGAACGCUGGCGGCGUGCUUAACACAUGCAAGUCGAACGAAGAGCGAUGGAAGCUUGCUUCUAUCAAUCUUAGUGGCGAACGGGUGAGUAACGCGUAAUCAACCUGCCCUUCAGAGGGGGACAACAGUUGGAAACGACUGCUAAUACCGCAUACGAUCUAAUCUCGGCAUCGAGGAUAGAUGAAAGGUGGCCUCUACAUGUAAGCUAUAACUGAAGGAGGGGAUUGCGUCUGAUUAGCUAGAUGGUGGGGGAACGGCCCACAAAGGCGAUGAACAGUAGCCGGUCUGAGAGGAUGAGCGGCCACAUUGGGACUGAAGCACGACUCAGACUCCUACGGGAGGCAGCAGUGGGGAAUCUUCCGCAGUGGACGAAAGUCUGACGAAGCAACGCCGCGUGAGUGAUGACGGCCUUCGGGUUGUAAAGCUCUGUUAAUCGGGACGAAAGGCCUUCUUGCGAAUAGUGAGAAGGAUUGACGGUACCGGAAUAGAAAGCCACGGCUAACUACGUG